RNAcentral lists this ribosomal RNA (3296 nucleotides) under Staphylococcus aureus. RNAcentral describes it as "bacterial SSU rRNA". The stretch from base 2 to 884 matches the Rfam family "Bacterial small subunit ribosomal RNA", at positions 9 to 873 of the family's 1533-position model. Lineage: Bacteria; Bacillati; Bacillota; Bacilli; Caryophanales; Staphylococcaceae. The record is from RNAcentral.
AGAGUUUGAUCCUGGCUCAGGAUGAACGCUGGCGGCGUGCCUAAUACAUGCAAGUCGAGCGAACGGACGAGAAGCUUGCUUCUCUGAUGUUAGCGGCGGACGGGUGAGUAACACGUGGAUAACCUACCUAUAAGACUGGGAUAACUUCGGGAAACCGGAGCUAAUACCGGAUAAUAUUUUGAACCGCAUGGUUCAAAAGUGAAAGACGGUCUUGCUGUCACUUAUAGAUGGAUCCGCGCUGCAUUAGCUAGUUGGUAAGGUAACGGCUUACCAAGGCAACGAUGCAUAGCCGACCUGAGAGGGUGAUCGGCCACACUGGAACUGAGACACGGUCCAGACUCCUACGGGAGGCAGCAGUAGGGAAUCUUCCGCAAUGGGCGAAAGCCUGACGGAGCAACGCCGCGUGAGUGAUGAAGGUCUUCGGAUCGUAAAACUCUGUUAUUAGGGAAGAACAUAUGUGUAAGUAACUGUGCACAUCUUGACGGUACCUAAUCAGAAAGCCACGGCUAACUACGUGCCAGCAGCCGCGGUAAUACGUAGGUGGCAAGCGUUAUCCGGAAUUAUUGGGCGUAAAGCGCGCGUAGGCGGUUUUUUAAGUCUGAUGUGAAAGCCCACGGCUCAACCGUGGAGGGUCAUUGGAAACUGGAAAACUUGAGUGCAGAAGAGGAAAGUGGAAUUCCAUGUGUAGCGGUGAAAUGCGCAGAGAUAUGGAGGAACACCAGUGGCGAAGGCGACUUUCUGGUCUGUAACUGACGCUGAUGUGCGAAAGCGUGGGGAUCAAACAGGAUUAGAUACCCUGGUAGUCCACGCCGUAAACGAUGAGUGCUAAGUGUUAGGGGGUUUCCGCCCCUUAGUGCUGCAGCNUCAACAAAUUAAAGAACAACAAAUGAUUGGUAUUAUGAUUACACACGAUCGAAGAUUAUUUGAAUAUGCAGAUCGAGUGAUUGAAUUAGAAGAUGGCAAAAUAACUGAUUAGUGGCUUGUAAAGACGCUAAAUGUUAAUGAUUUAAGACAUAGUAGUAUAAAAGUUAGAUAACAGAAUACGAUUUGGGUUUACAAAAAACAGGCUGGGACAUUAAGUUCUUAGGCAAUGUAAAAAAGCUGAUUUCUAUUAAUUAUUUGAUAGAAAUCAGCUUUUUUGAUAUGUAUUUUAUAAUGUACAGCUCGUUGCAUUCAUAUAGCUUGAAGUCACGUUUAAAACCAUAUCUAUCAUUAUGGUAUGCAUAUCUUUUAAAACCUAUUCUUUUGUUAUUAGGACAUAUAAAUUCAUCAUUAAGUUCGUCAUAUUUCCAAUUUUGAGUGUUAAAAAUGUCACUUUUAAACUUUCUAGUUUUAUCUUUAAUAAACAUGACAUACGUAAUAAGUGGCGUUUUAUUAAAAUCAUCUAUAAUAGCCAUAUAGUUUUGCUCACUAUCAUAACAUGCAUCAGCUACAAUAUACUCCGGUAAAUAACCGAAGGUAUUUUGAAUCAUUGUUAAAAAUGGAAUUAAAGUUCUAGUAUCUGUUGGGUUUUGAAAUAGGUCAUAGGAUAAAACAAAUUGAGAAUUUGUCGCUAUUUGUAAAUUGUAUCCUGGCUUAAGUUGGCCAAAGUGUCUUAUUUUUUUAAAGUAUUUAAAAGUAAAAUUACAUGUUAAUACGUAGUAUUAAUGGCGAGACUCCUGAGGGAGCAGUGCCAGUCGAAGACAGGGGCCCCAACACAGAAGCUGACAUAUAGUCAGCUUACAACAAUGUGCCGGUUGGGGUGGCUGAGACGGCACCCUAGGAAGGGACCCGUCAUCAAAAAUUCUAUUUAUAGAAUUUUACAGUAAUGUGCCAGAUGGGCAUAGCGAAGCCAUUCAAUACGAAGUAUUGUAUAAAUAGAGAACAGCAGUAAGAUAUUUUCUAAUUGAAAAUUAUCUUACUGCUGUUUUUUUUAGGGAUUAAUGUCCCAGACUCUUUAGUUUAUUUAUUUUCAAUAUAACAAUUGUCUAAUCAAGGAUUAACGAAUAUUUAAAGAUAGUUUGACGCAAUAUUAGAAACAACCUAUAAUAAUAGUUUGUUUGUGGAUUAACUAUUAUAAAUAAAAGCGGCGUAAAGACAUAUAAACCAACUACUUGAACAAUAUAACGUUAAUAACAAUCUAUACUGAUACAUUACGCCUAGAUAAUCUUUGAUGAGCACAUGUAAGAAAAAGUGAUAUGGUGUAUGACUUCCGACACCAUCGAUAGAUAAACCUAAUUUUUGGGCUAGUCGUAAGGCGCGCAAUACAUGAAACUGACUUGUUACACAAACAAUUUUAACUGCUUCAUGAUACAAAUUGUUGAUGAUUUGUUUAGAAUAUAAAAAGUUUGUGUAUGUAUUUAUAGAGUGAGAUUCCAUUAGUAUAUCUGUUUUAUCAACACCAUGUGCAAUCAAAUAACGUUGCAUAGCUAAAGCUUCAGAAAUUGGUUCGUCUGGUCCUUGUCCGCCAGAUACAAUGAUCUUUGUUGCUGAUGCUUGUUGUUGAUAGAUAUCAAGUGCACGAUCUAAACGCGCUGCAAGCAUUGGUGUGACAAAUUCGGUAAAAAUACCAGCACCUAACACAAUUAUGAUAUCAACUUCUUUGUUGUAUGAUCUAUGUCUAUAUGAUACUGUCCAAACGAGAUAACAAAUAAAGGUUAGUAACAGGGAAAGACAUAAUAUAGCUAACCACAUAGACAAACCUUUCACAAUAGGUGACUGAAUCGUACUUAUAAAUAGAAGUGCUGAUGUGUAGAGUACAAAUUUAUAUGAAAAAGAUAAUAAUUUUUUAAUAAAUAAGCGACUAGAAGUAUGAGAAAAUAAAUAUCUAUGUUUGAAUAGCAUGAUAAUACUGAUUAUUAUAAAUGUUACAAACAUAGACCAAGGGAAAGUAUAGGUCAUGAUGCUAUAGAUGAGUGACAAAAAUAUCGAUAUGACAACUAAGAUGUAGCAUGUUAAAUUUAACGUCAGAGUAUAGUUGAAAAUUAACGGACAAAUAACGAUAAGUAUAAAUAUUAAUAAUAAAUUCAAUAACAUACUGACACCUCGCUUAUAAUAAAUAUUAAAUAUAAAUAUAGAUGAUUUAAUUUAUUAAAGCAAGGAGAAAGCAGCAACAUGUAAAUCUUAAUUUGUUAUAUUAUAUAUGGGUCAAUAUUUUUGUGUUUUUUAGAUGUGCGAUACAAUGAUUGCUGAGGAUACUUUAUAAAAAUAGUAAUUAGGGAGAAAUAAUUAUGGUAAAACAUUUACAAGACCAUAUUCAAUUUUUAGAGCAGUUUAUAAAUAACGUUAACGCAUUAACUGCAAAAAUGUUGAAAGAU